AACGCGAAGAACCUUACCAGGCGUUUGAGCAUGCAUUUAGCACCAGCCAGAGAUGGCUGUCCCUUCGGGGCGUAUGCACAUUGUGCUGCAUGGCUGUCGUUUUGCUCGUGCCGUGAGGUGUUGGGUUAAGUCCCGCAACGAGCGCAACUCCUGUUGCCGGUUAGGAUGUCCGGCGAGACUGCCACGCUAAACGUGGAGGAAGGUGGGGAUGACGUCAAGUCAGCACGGCCCUUACGUCCUGGGCGACACACACGCUACAGAUGGUCGAGACUACGGGUUGCGAACUCGCGAGGGGGAGCUAAUCCUAACAAACUCGGUCUCAGUUCGGAUUGCAGGCUGCAACUCGCCUGCAUGAAGCCGGAGUUGCUAGUAACCGUGGGUCAGCACACCACGGUGAAUACGUUCCCGGGUCUUGUUUCCACCG
Molecule: ribosomal RNA, 424 nt
Filed under: uncultured bacterium
Lineage: Bacteria
Description: bacterial SSU rRNA
Rfam family: Bacterial small subunit ribosomal RNA
Source: RNAcentral